AUGAACGCUGGCGGCGUGCCUAACACAUGCAAGUCGGAUGUGCCGCAAGGUGCAUGGCAGACGGGUGAGUAACGCGUGGGGAAUCUACCUCUUUGUGGGGAAUAACGCUCCGAAAGGAGUGGUAAUACCGCAUGAGACCUUUGGCUGGGAUGCUGGAGGUGAAACCUGGGGACCGCAAGGCCUGGGGCAAGGAGAGGAUCCUGCGUCUGAUUAGCUAGUUGGCGGGGUAAUGGCCCACCAAGGCGACGAUCAGUAGCCGGCCUGAGAGGGUGAUCGGCCACACUGGAACUGAGACACGGUCCAGACUCCUACGGGAGGCAGCAGUGGGGAAUUUUGCGCAAUGGACGAAAGUCUGACGCAGCAACGCCGCGUGGGUGAUGAAGGUCUUCGGACUGUAAAACCCUGUCGUCAGGGACGAAGGUGCGCAUGUUAAUAGCAUGUGUACUUGACGGUACCUGGAGAGGAAGCCCCGGCUAACUCUG
This 482-nucleotide ribosomal RNA is filed under the name uncultured bacterium. RNAcentral's name for it is "bacterial SSU rRNA". It matches the Rfam family "Bacterial small subunit ribosomal RNA", at positions 29 to 505 of the family's 1533-position model. The record is from RNAcentral.